Molecule: ribosomal RNA, 350 nt
Filed under: Pleuroxus denticulatus
Lineage: Eukaryota; Metazoa; Arthropoda; Branchiopoda; Diplostraca; Chydoridae
Description: partial 16S ribosomal RNA
Rfam family: Bacterial large subunit ribosomal RNA
Source: RNAcentral
ACCUGCUAGCCGCAGUAUUCUGACUGUGCAAAGGUAGCAUAAUCAUUUGUCCUUUAAUUAAGGGCUAGAAUGAAUGGUUGAACGAGAAAGCUUCUGUCUUUGAAUUUCAUUUGUGGGUGCAAAAGCUUACAUUUUCUUGAAAGACGAUCAGACCCUAUGGAGCUUAUUUGUUGGGGCGACAAAAAUUGAUCCUAAGUGUUAGAUUAAAAGACUAAGUUACCCUAGGGAUAACAGCGUUAUUUUCUUGGAGAGUUCAAAUCGAUAAGAAAGUUUGCGACCUCGAUGUUGGAUCAAAGUUUCUAUAAGGUGUAGCCGCUUUAUAAGAGAGUCUGUUCGACUUUUAAAUCUUU